UGGAGGGGGAUAUACAGAGAGAAAUCACUGCUAAUACCGCAUAAGCACACAGUACCGCAUGGUACAGGGUGAAAAGAUUUAUCGCCAUAAGAUGGACCCGCGUCUGAUUAGCCAGUUGGCAGGGUAAAAGCCUACCAAAGCAACGAUCAGUAGCCGAUCUGAGAGGAUGACCGGCCACAUUGGGACUGAGACACGGCCCAAACUCCUACGGGAGGCAGCAGUGGGGAAUAUUGCACAAUGGGGGAAACCCUGAUGCAGCGACGCCGCGUGAGUGAAGAAGUAUUUCGGUAUGUAAAGCUCUAUCAGCAGGGAAGAUAAUGAC
RNAcentral lists this ribosomal RNA (322 nucleotides) under Oribacterium sinus. RNAcentral's name for it is "bacterial SSU rRNA". It matches the Rfam family "Bacterial small subunit ribosomal RNA", at positions 134 to 455 of the family's 1533-position model. Lineage: Bacteria; Bacillati; Bacillota; Clostridia; Lachnospirales; Lachnospiraceae. The record is from RNAcentral.